ACGCUCGACACCUACUGGAGGCAGCAGUGGGGAAUAUUGCACAAUGGGGGAAACCCUGAUGCAGCGACGCCGCGUGAAGGAAGACGUAUUUCGGUAUGUAAACUUCUAUCAGCAGGGAAGAUAAUGACGGUACCUGACUAAGAAGCCCCGGCUAACUACGUGCAGCAGCCGCGGUAAUCUGAGCGGGCUGGCAAGGC
This 197-nucleotide ribosomal RNA is filed under the name uncultured bacterium. RNAcentral describes it as "partial 16S ribosomal RNA". It matches the Rfam family "Bacterial small subunit ribosomal RNA", at positions 328 to 539 of the family's 1533-position model. The record is from RNAcentral.